AUACGUAGGGGGCGAGCGUUGUCCGGAAUUACUGGGUGUAAAGGGAGCGUAGGCGGGAUGGCAAGUCAGAAGUGAAAACUAUGGGCUCAACCCAUAGACUGCAUUUGAAACUGUUGUUCUUGAGUGAAGUAGAGGUAAGCGGAAUUCCUGGUGUAGCGGUGAAAUGCGUAGAUAGCAGGAGGAACAUCGGUGGCGAAGGCGGCUUACUGGGCUUUUACUGACGCUGAGGCGCGAAAGCGUGGGGAGCAAACAGGAUUAGAUACCCUGGUAGUCCACGCUGUGAACGAUGAAUACUAGGUGUGGGGGGACUGACCCCCUCCGUGCCGCAGUUAACACAAUAAGUAUUCCACCUGGGGAGUACGAUCGCAAGAUUGAAACUCAAAUGAAUUGACGGGG
RNAcentral lists this ribosomal RNA (396 nucleotides) under uncultured bacterium. Its description in RNAcentral is "partial 16S ribosomal RNA". It matches the Rfam family "Bacterial small subunit ribosomal RNA", at positions 523 to 918 of the family's 1533-position model. The record is from RNAcentral.